Molecule: ribosomal RNA, 498 nt
Filed under: uncultured bacterium
Lineage: Bacteria
Description: partial 16S ribosomal RNA
Rfam family: Bacterial small subunit ribosomal RNA
Source: RNAcentral
AUUGAACGCUGGCGGCAUGCCUUACACAUGCAAGUCGAACGGUAACAGGUCUUCGGAUGCUGACGAGUGGCGAACGGGUGAGUAAUACAUCGGAACGUGCCUAGUAGUGGGGGAUAACUACUCGAAAGAGUGGCUAAUACCGCAUGAGAUCUACGGAUGAAAGCAGGGGAUCGCAAGACCUUGUGCUACUGGAGCGGCCGAUGGCAGAUUAGGUAGUUGGUGGGAUAAAAGCUUACCAAGCCGACGAUCUGUAGCUGGUCUGAGAGGACGAUCAGCCACACUGGGACUGAGACACGGCCCAGACUCCUACGGGAGGCAGCAGUGGGGAAUUUUGGACAAUGGGCGCAAGCCUGAUCCAGCAAUGCCGCGUGCAGGAUGAAGGCCUUCGGGUUGUAAACUGCUUGAGUACGGAACGAAAAGCCCAGGGGGAAUACCCUGGGGUCAUGACGGUACCGUAAGAAUAAGCACCGGCUAACUACGUGCCAGCCGCCGCAGUAA